UGAUUUGAGAGUGACCCUGGAAACACUAU
This 29-nucleotide non-coding RNA is filed under the name Mus musculus (house mouse). Lineage: Eukaryota; Metazoa; Chordata; Mammalia; Rodentia; Muridae. The record is from RNAcentral.